RNAcentral lists this ribosomal RNA (548 nucleotides) under uncultured Glomeromycotina. Its description in RNAcentral is "SSU rRNA". It matches the Rfam family "Eukaryotic small subunit ribosomal RNA", at positions 548 to 1098 of the family's 1831-position model. The record is from RNAcentral. Lineage: Eukaryota; Fungi; Glomeromycota.
UUGGAGGGCAAGUCUGGUGCCAGCAGCCGCGGCAAUUCCAGCUCCAAUAGCGUAUAUUAAAGUUGUUGCAGUUAAAAAGCUCGUAGUUGAAUUUCGGGAUCAGAGUGUCGGUCGUGCCUCGGUACGCACUGGUAUUAUUGGUUCCUACCUUCUGAAGAACCGCGAUGUCAUUAAUUUGGUGUCGUGGGGAAUCAGGACUGUUACUUUGAAAAAAUUAGAGUGUUUAAAGCAGGCUUACGCUUGAAUACAUUAGCAUGGAAUAAUGAAAUAGGACGUUUGAUUCUAUUUUGUUGGUUUCUAGGAUUGACGUAAUGAUUAAUAGGGAUAGUUGGGGGCAUUAGUAUUCAAUUGUCAGAGGUGAAAUUCUUGGAUUUAUUGAAGACUAACUACUGCGAAAGCAUUUGCCAAGGAUGUUUUCAUUAAUCAAGAACGAAAGUUAGGGGAUCGAAGACGAUCAGAUACCGUCGUAGUCUUAACCAUAAACUAUGCCGACUAGGGAUCGGAUGAUGUUAAUUUUUUAAUGACUCAUUCGGCGCCUUACGGGAAAC